Molecule: long non-coding RNA, 1172 nt
Organism: Daphnia pulicaria
Lineage: Eukaryota; Metazoa; Arthropoda; Branchiopoda; Diplostraca; Daphniidae
Exons: 4
Source: RefSeq, a predicted model, not a curated record
AGGCAGAUUUCAUUUAAAUUCGGUUAUAAACCAUAAAAUUGACAGUUGAUGGGUUUCAAUCCUUCGAGACGGUCCACAAUAAGUAGUCUGCACCAUCAAUUGAAUUGUCACUCUACACAGUUCUCUACUUGUCGUCCAGAAACAUGAAAAACUUACUGAUAUCGACCAGUGUGUUUGUUGUCACCUUUCUACUGGCUGGCACAGGUUUGUUGUCUUGCGGUACUCACGCAGCGAGUCUGCAUAUUAGCGAUGGAGAAUCAUCACUCCAAUGGUCGAAUGAUGCGACACGAUUGGCAAUUCCCGAACAAAAUGUUUUGUCGAGACGAUAACGACAACCGCCUUUUACUCCUAAUCCUAACACUGCUGACAGAAGGAGCCGGCAACACGUGCCUAACCCACUUUUCGACCAAGAAUAUCUGAAGAAAUCGCAAAUGAUCUUUAACACCCAUCAACAACUUUACGGUCCUCUAUGGGAAUUAAUCGGGCAGAUUACGAGAAAUAUCGACGACACUUUAGAUCUUAGCAAAGUCUUGAAUUACUACAAAGACAGCAGUAAUAUCAACCGGAACCCGGAACUAUAUCCCGCAGAAAUUUCAUAGUGAUCGGUACAAGUUCCACAAAUUGUUCCACCAAAUGUACCACAUGCGCAACGAAAUUUCUCAUCAGAGUUAUUCGGUGGCAUGUUUCAAUUCAGACAAGAAAGCACUGAUUGAGGUGGCGAAAUACGUGGAUGAAGCGAAAAGCGAAAAAAUUAGUGGCUUUAACACUACCACAAGUCCUAGCCCUACUGGUAACAGUAACAGGCUCGGUUACGAACCCUUAAUCACGUCGGGUCUUUCACAAUGGACUUCAUUUUCAUCUAGGAGUAGUGCAGCAAGUGAUCAGACAUGCUCCCUUCCUCCUACUAAUUCUGCUACUACUUCUCGGCCUUCAAGGCGUAAUAUUGGGUAGUGUGGCAGACAAAAGUAUGAAUAAACUGCUGUGUAUAACAUGACUGCAAGUGCAACUUUUUACUGUGAUUAUUAAUGGGAAAUCAUAAGUCAUCACAACGGGAUUGGGGUUAAUUUCACUUUUUGUAGUUUGAUGAAAAUUAUUCGAUACAUUAACGAACUAAGUAAAUAAUAGAAAAUUGAUUGCCUCAAAAUUGGUCCGGAAAUAUUGCCCUUCUCGUU